Mangifera indica (mango) is the source of this 1732-nucleotide long non-coding RNA. RefSeq lists it as uncharacterized. NCBI's taxonomy places the organism in Eukaryota, Viridiplantae, Streptophyta, Magnoliopsida, Sapindales, Anacardiaceae. The transcript has 9 exons. The record is from RefSeq and is a predicted model, not a curated record.
GGCUUACGUUGUUACUAUUACAAUGGAUUUUUCCUUCAUUGCCAUUCCCAUAAAUUUUUUCACUAUGAGUUAUUUUCUCUCUUGCAAUUUUCUUUUGUUGUACUUGUUUCUGCAUUUUUAGUUGUUGCUCUUUUCUGCUUCCGAACAGUUUCUAUCAGAAUGGGUUAUCUUGGAUGGCUUCUGCCGCUGUCAGUAUUCUUUUCGGUAACAGGAAAAAGAUUUGUUAUUUCUCCUAAUGUGGAAGAAGGGACCCAUUCGCUUAGGCCUUUUACAUCGUCAUACACGGUGUGCGUGCGUGUCUCUUUCAUACUUCUAUACUAUCCUAAUUGAUGGAUCUUAGGGUUGACUCAUUUGUUGUAGCAAAUGCAAUAGUUUCGCGGCAAACACAAAAAUGUCGUAUCAAUGUCCAUGUUGGGGGAAUAUGGAGUGCGCUGAAAUUUCUUUCUCACUUGCUGGUGUAUCAAUUCUUGCACCAUUAUAAGUGUUCCUCCUAAGUGCUGUGGAGUUCUUGGUUUUGUGGUGCUAAUAGACUUCUUCAGGAUACCAGAGUUGGUUGAAUAGUGGAUUAAAUGUGUAUAUGCUUUCUAAUGAAAGGGGAACAGAUAUCAUAAGAAGGGAUUUUUAGCCUAUUCGGUUAUAGGAGCCUUUAUCUUGUUGGUGUACAGUUGGGUCACUAUCAUUUUUUGGGAAAGGUUAUCAUUCCACAUUUAGAAGCAAUCAUAUGACAGUCAUUAAAGUGUGGCUAGUUGCUUUUCUGUUAUGGUUAUUGACUUUGCUUGUUGAUUGAGUCCCAGCCAAUUUCUAAUGCAAGCAGAAUGGUUCAAGCUCACAAAUCAACAAUCAAGAAUUGCAAGUGAACAAACUCAGAAUUGCAAAGAUAAUUGACUAAAUAGUGUACUGAAUUACUGCUUACACUGAUUGAAUGAAAGAAAUACAGUAUGAGCUGUGAUGCAAACAGCUUGACUGCCCAACAGAAUUGAAGAGAAAUACAAAACAGAAGCAGAAAAAUAAGCUAAGUUCCUGGCAAAUUCAAGAGUGCCAGGAACAUCCUGAUAUCAAUAUUCUGUCCUCCCCCAUACUUCCCAUGCCCUACCCUUUUAUUCCUUUCUCCACCAAAACAACCACGUGGUCCCUAUAAUUGGUUACUGGAAUCUUCCUGAUUUAUCUUUUUUUUCUUUUUCUAAUCGCACUUUGUUGGUUGGUGAUCUUGAAUUAUUAGGGCUUUAUAACUUGUGGAUAGGCACAUUGAAAGAGUUCCACACAGAAUGUGCAACCAGGCUUAUGUUACUUGGGUGUUGUCUCUGAAUUUACAGCUUUUAGGAGGCUUCAUGAUAUCUCAGUAGUUCCCUGUAUGCAGAAUUACAGAACUUGAAGUAGCAUUUAUCCGCGACUUUCUGGCUUCAUUUCUUCUGGUGAGCAUAAAUGCUUGUUAUUCAUUUCCAAAGUGUUUGUCUUACUUCCCAAACUCAAAACAAUAGUCUAUGGUGCACUUGUACAAAUUAUUUAUACAAGCAAAUCUGUACAAAGGCUGGUAAACAUCUCAGUAGAUACACUAUUUGCCUCAACAAUCUCGGCCCUCUAAAUCUUGUCAUAACAAGAAUCGCUUUAAGCAAAAUUGUCGAUAUCUUCAUCUGUGGCCAGAAAGUGCCAUACAUUAUUGGCCUCGGAAAUGAGGCACGUGCACAGUUUAUGUAAAAUUUAACCUAGAUUAUAUGCGAUGUAUAAUGUGUAA